This 698-nucleotide ribosomal RNA is filed under the name Pseudomonas asturiensis. Its description in RNAcentral is "bacterial SSU rRNA". It matches the Rfam family "Bacterial small subunit ribosomal RNA", at positions 62 to 755 of the family's 1533-position model. Lineage: Bacteria; Pseudomonadati; Pseudomonadota; Gammaproteobacteria; Pseudomonadales; Pseudomonadaceae. The record is from RNAcentral.
UCGAGCGGUAGAGAGAAGCUUGCUUCUCUUGAGAGCGGCGGACGGGUGAGUAAUGCCUAGGAAUCUGCCUGGUAGUGGGGGAUAACGCUCGGAAACGGACGCUAAUACCGCAUACGUCCUACGGGAGAAAGCAGGGGACCUUCGGGCCUUGCGCUAUCAGAUGAGCCUAGGUCGGAUUAGCUAGUUGGUGAGGUAAUGGCUCACCAAGGCGACGAUCCGUAACUGGUCUGAGAGGAUGAUCAGUCACACUGGAACUGAGACACGGUCCAGACUCCUACGGGAGGCAGCAGUGGGGAAUAUUGGACAAUGGGCGAAAGCCUGAUCCAGCCAUGCCGCGUGUGUGAAGAAGGUCUUCGGAUUGUAAAGCACUUUAAGUUGGGAGGAAGGGCAUUUACCUAAUACGUAAGUGUUUUGACGUUACCGACAGAAUAAGCACCGGCUAACUCUGUGCCAGCAGCCGCGGUAAUACAGAGGGUGCAAGCGUUAAUCGGAAUUACUGGGCGUAAAGCGCGCGUAGGUGGUUUGUUAAGUUGAAUGUGAAAUCCCCGGGCUCAACCUGGGAACUGCAUCCAAAACUGGCAAGCUAGAGUAUGGUAGAGGGUGGUGGAAUUUCCUGUGUAGCGGUGAAAUGCGUAGAUAUAGGAAGGAACACCAGUGGCGAAGGCGACCACCUGGACUGAUACUGACACUGAGGUGCG